RNAcentral lists this ribosomal RNA (253 nucleotides) under uncultured bacterium. RNAcentral describes it as "partial 16S ribosomal RNA". It matches the Rfam family "Bacterial small subunit ribosomal RNA", at positions 524 to 776 of the family's 1533-position model. The record is from RNAcentral.
UACGUAGGGGGCUAGCGUUGUCCGGAAUCAUUGGGCGUAAAGCGCGUGUAGGCGGCUCGAUAAGUCCGCUCUGAAAGCCCGGGGCUCAACCCCGGGAGGCGGGUGGAUACUGUCGAGCUCGAGUCCGGAAGAGGCAAGUGGAAUUCCCGGUGUAGCGGUGAAAUGCGCAGAUAUCGGGAGGAACACCAAUGGCGAAGGCAGCUUGCUGGGACGGUACUGACGCUGAGACGCGAAAGCGUGGGGAGCAAACGGG